GUAGUGGUGGUGGUGGUAGUGGUGGGACGUGAGGACGUGAGGAUCUGUCACUGACCUUGCGAUGGCUGGCUUACCCUUGAGCAGUGGUGGGUGAAGGAGAUCGAGGGGAAUGAGGCAACCACGACAUCAGGGAACAGGUGUGUGAGGGGACAGGGAUGAGGUAGGAUGAGAUGAGACGCUUCGAUGCCUCUACUGUCCUUCCCUACACACACACACACACACACACACAUAUCUGUACGUGACAUUCCUGUUAGUUUAUUUCUUUGGUGGUUUUUCUUCUGUUUUAAUAUUUUUUCUAUUGUUUAUUUAUGUUUUGUCCCUUGUUUCUUUGUUCGAUGGUAAUUUAGUUAUUUAUUCUUUUGUAGAACGUCAGUAAAACAUAAAGGAAAAUCUGCCCUCCGUCCUGUAAUAUUUGGGAAAAUGUUAGGCUUUGUAGGAUAUCUCGUCUUACCUCUCGCGCUCCCUCCUUCCAAGGCAUUGAAAAAGUGCGGGAAAUUUGAAGGUUUAUAAAUGCACUGGUGUGUGUAUGUGUGUGUGAGUGUUAUUGCUAGUUCUCUCUCUCUCUCUCUCUCUCUGUCAGUAGUUGCACAGGUCUUCAAAGGUAUUUUUACGGUUUUAGUGACAGAUUAACAACAUUUCUACAUUAAUAACAGGAGAAACACCAUUGAAAACCCUGAUAAUCAUCUUUAUAGCUUUGAAAAACAGUCGUGAGGAGAGAGAGAGAGAGAGAGAGAGAGAGAGAGAGAAAGAGAGAGUAGGAGCAUUUCAGUUGAGCCUAUUCUGCCCUGGUUCGUGUUUGCUGCGGUGACACGGUGCCGCACUGAGUGAAGAUUGCGUUCAUAAUCACUUAUCGGGGGUGGAGUGGGGAAAGGAGAGUCAAGAAGUGAGGAUAUUUAUAUUAUUUGACAUAUUAUUUGAUAGCAUAUCAACUUUUGUGUGUGUGUGUGUGUGUGUGUGUGUGUGUGUGGGUGGGUGUUGGAUCAGUGACAGGUGGCGCUGGGGAGUUACCACGGCGAGCGGCUGGCGGCUGGCUGCAGUGUUUUGGUCAGCACUGGUCAAUCUUGCCCUACACGCUCUAUUAACCAGUGUUUCCGUCUUCCCGACACCUUCUUCCUGCACCAAGCACCGUCAAGCAUCACCAGAGAGGCACGAGUACGUAAGCUAUCCAACAUCAGAACAGUAUAUGAAUAUGGCAAAUGCUGUUUUGACAUCAUUUCCUGCCAUCCUGAGAAACAGUGAUCUCGAGGAGCAUGAAUUGCAGCUGCAAUGGAAAUUGCGCAUCCAGCGCAAGUUUCAGAAUUCAAGAAAAAGGCAGGAUUCCUCAGUGACUGAGGUGACGUCAAGGAAAAAGAAGAUCCCUUGCAUAGCGCCAAAAGAGACUACGUGUCCACUGAUGUAUGGAGUAAAGGCUUACCUUCCACCAAGGCCCCAUUCAGAAGAUGAUGAGUCAUUAGAGAGACAGACAGUGGCUUGCUCUACAUUGGAUGAAGAAAGAUCCUGAGUUAGAUAAGAUAAUCAAGGAGUUCCUGAGAUUAGAACCACAAGCGGAUGAACCAGACCCAAGAGUAGCAGUUUUGAAAGGGCUGGAGAAAUAUAGGCUCCCAAUAAUUGCCAUUCUCAAAAAAAGAAAAGCAGUUCCUCUGUAUAUGGAAACCUUACUUGAACUCUAUGACCACGAUGAAAGUCAAUGCGAGUAAUGUCUAGUUCAAUUUGUUCAUUUCAGUAGCUGGUAGCAAUUUAAUAUAUGUAUCUUUUCAUCAUUAGCAAUGCAUCUUUCACUUUUAUAAGCCUAGUAUUCAUGAAACUAUGCUGCAUGCAAAAACCAAACAUUGUAUUAAGCAUGACCUAUCUAACUGUAAUGCUUGCACCAAUUUCUAUAAAGGUACUAAUUUAAUUGUUAAAUUCCUGCUCUUCUAUCAAAUUUUUGGCUGAGUGCUAUUGCUAAAUAAUUGUUUGCAGCAUAAGUGAUGUUAAAGAUUUUAAUAGGUGUAAAGCAUCUCUCUCUCUCUCUCUCUCUCUCUCUCUCUCUCUCUCUCUCUCUCUCUCUCUCUCUCUCUCUCUCUCUCUCUCUCUCUCUCUCUCUCUCUCUCUCUCUCUCUCUCUCUCUCUCUCUCGUAAGGAAAGACAUUAUUUCUAGUGUAAAUAAACCCAAUAGGCUGUCCAAUUUGAAAUUUAAAAUGUAAAUAUUAUCAAUCUUUUUAGAAAUGUUAGCUGCAUCCUCUUCCCUUGCAGUCCAAUAAGACAGGUCACUAAUUCGUGUGGAGAUAGAAUUCUUGGAGUCACCUUUGCCGGCACUAGCGCAAGUGCAAACAGUCUGAUAAAGGUUUCUUCCAUGGUUGUGAUGAAGUUCAGGACUUCUCACACUGUUUUGGUGGAUAUGAUGAGAAGAAUCGGGAGUUCGGAACAUCAGUGCGUUAUGUCGGGGCAUGUAGGUUCGGCUGGGGUUUUCUUUCUUUCUAUCUUUUUUUUUUUUUUUCGAUCAGUACUCAUCAUAUUCUUACGAGGACUUGCUAGACAAAGCAUUAUUGCAUUAUGAUAUUACCCAAAUAGUGUCUCAAGUAAAAAACAUAACCGCAUACUCGUACAAGAGAUUUGCUGCUGUGACACAAAGGACAAAAAUCAUUAGUAUACUGGUCGUUCUGAGCAUUCAAUCAAAAUGCUUGUCAUUCAUAUAAUUAGUAGAACCAUCAAGGAGCUUUAUUUUUGUUAAUUCUUAUGUGAUAAAGCAAUAAUUACAGGAGACUUAAAAGAUUGGUACUCAAAUUAGUGGACUGUCCUAUUGGAUGUGACCAUAUCUUCACUUUUUCCUUACACAGUUAAUUUUCUUUUGUUUAUUUGAUUUACUUAUUAUCAUAUUUAUUUAUAUAUUUAUUUAUUUGCACCAGAUGCUUGCUUAGUUAUAUUGGGGUUACUUCACCUGCUUGGAGAAAGGAAAGACUCCAUUUUUACUAAGGUACCAGAAGAAGAACUAAGAACAGGGCAGUCUAGUGUGUAUUUGAUGGUGAACCUGUAGCUGAACCAACAUGUAUUUCUAUGGCUGUAGUCUCAUUGGUAGCAGGGCUUUGUGUUUAAUAUUGAACACCCAAAAAAUUGUUAACAUUUCCUCCGUUUCACAACAUCCCAUCUCUUAGGUAUCAAGUAUGACAAAGGUAACACUUCAAAAACAAGAUCUCUACUUGUAAAACUCAAUGAAGUAAAGACAGAAUUGAGCUACAAAAAUGCAUAAAUCUGCUUCCAAAUAUAUUCAACUCCACACAUAAUGCCUCUCUCUCUCUCUCUCUCUCUCUCUCUCUCUCUCUCUCUCUCUCUCUCUCUCUCUCUCUCUCUCUCUCUCUCUCUCUCUCUCUCUCUCUCUCUCUCUCUCUCUCUCUCUCUCUCUCUCUCUCUCUCUCUCUCUCUCUCUCUCUCUCUCUCUCUCUCUCUCUCUCUCUCUCUCUCUCUCUCUCUCUCUCUCUCUCUCUCUCUCUCUCUCUCCAAAUUGGGAAGUAUUCUUCAUGUACCAUAUGAUGCAUAUAUUUUUAUUUAUUUAUUUUUUUUUAUGCAUUUUUUACCUUUUUUUUUUUUUAUUUCUCUAUGUUAUUGCAAGUGAUACGUGAAGCUUCUUUAUUACUGUUCUGAGCAUUUCUGUAGAUUUGUUUAGUUAGUAUAUCCCAUAGAAAUACUCAUUUUCUUUUUUUGUGUGGCUUUAAAGGAUUAAUGGUGACAUAUGGAUAUGAUCUGGGUUAAAAGCUUGUACAAAUAAGGUUAAAUGUCUAUUUUUGCACUGGUUGUUUCCCUAAGUUUCUUAAAAGUACUGUGAUAUAAUGAUUAGCAGUGGACUAAUUAAUUAUUCUUUACAGGGUCUGUAACUCCUUACAUUUAAUUUAUGUUAACUUUACUUACAUAUUUUUUCCUUUAGUUUAUGAAUGGGAGGAAGGUUUAAUAUUCAUAUCUUAAGAGAUGCUUACUUUCUUUUCCACAUUGCAAGUUUUAGUGAUUAAUACUCACAAAUGUGUAUUAUUUACUUAAUGGCUUGUCAAAACAGGUUGUUUUUGUGUUGCUUUUUUUUUUCUCAUGCUAGGAUGAAGUGUUACUAAUGGAGUUUAUUUUUUACAUCUGUUUUAUAUAUCAUUACAGUUUUGAGGGGAGCUUUCUGUUAAAUGUUCAAGUGAAAAGCAUAUUAUACUAUAGAUGAUAAAAAAUUAUAGU
Scylla paramamosain (green mud crab) is the source of this 4188-nucleotide long non-coding RNA. RefSeq lists it as uncharacterized. NCBI's taxonomy places the organism in Eukaryota, Metazoa, Arthropoda, Malacostraca, Decapoda, Portunidae. The record is from RefSeq and is a predicted model, not a curated record. The transcript has 4 exons.